ACGAGUGGCGCACGGGUGCGUAACGCGUAUGCAACCUACCUUCAACUGGGAGAUAGCCCCUCGAAAGAGGGAUUAAUAUCCCAUAGUAAUAAGAAGAGGCAUCUCUUUUUGUUUAAAGCUCCGGCGGUUGAAGAUGGGCAUGCGUGACAUUAGCUAGUUGGUGAGGUAACGGCUCACCAAGGCUACGAUGUCUAGGGGUUCUGAGAGGAUGAUCCCCCACACUGGUACUGAGACACGGACCAGACUCCUACGGGAGGCAGCAGUAAGGAAUAUUGGUCAAUGGACGCAAGUCUGAGCCAGCCAUGCCGCGUGAAGGAUGACGGCCCUAUGGGUUGUAAACUUCUUUUGUACGGGAAUAAACCCGGGUACGUGUACCCGGCUGAAUGUACCGUAAGAAUAAGGAUCGGCUAACUCCGUGCCAGCAGCCGCGGUAAUACGGAGGAUCCAAGCGUUAUCCGGAUUCAUUGGGUUUAAAGGGUGCGUAGGCGGAUUUGUAAGUCAGUGGUGAAAGCCUGCAGCUUAACUGUAGAACUGCCAUUGAUACUGCAAGUCUUGAGUACACUUGACGUGGGCGGAAUGUGUCAUGUAGCGGUGAAAUGCUUAGAUAUGACACAGAACACCGAUAGCGAAGGCAGCUCACGAAAUUGUAACUGACGCUGAGGCACGACAGCGUGGGGAUCAAACAGGAUUAGAUACCCUGGUAGUCCACGCCGUAAACUAUGAAUACUCGAUGUGUGCGAUAUACUGUACGCGUCUAAGCUAAAGCAUUAAGUAUUCCACCUGGGGAGUAC
Molecule: ribosomal RNA, 791 nt
Filed under: uncultured Bacteroidota bacterium
Lineage: Bacteria; Pseudomonadati; Bacteroidota
Description: bacterial SSU rRNA
Rfam family: Bacterial small subunit ribosomal RNA
Source: RNAcentral